RNAcentral lists this ribosomal RNA (392 nucleotides) under uncultured bacterium. RNAcentral describes it as "partial 16S ribosomal RNA". It matches the Rfam family "Bacterial small subunit ribosomal RNA", at positions 523 to 918 of the family's 1533-position model. The record is from RNAcentral.
AUACGGAGGAUCCGAGCGUUAUCCGGAUUUAUUGGGUUUAAAGGGUGCGCAGGCGGCCCUUUAAGUCAGCGGUUAAAUCGUGGGGCUCAACCCCAUUCUGCCGUUGAUACUGGGUGGCUUGAUUGCGGUCGAGGUUGGCGGAAUUCGUUGUGUAGCGGUGAAAUGCGUAGAUAUGACGAAGAACACCGUUUGCAUAGACAUCAGACCAGACCGCAAAUGACGCUCAUGCACGAAAGUGCGGGGAUCGAACAGGAUUAGAUACCCUGGUAGUCCGCACAGUAAACGAUUAAUGCUUGUUUUCGGCGAUAUAAUGUCGGAGGCUAAGCGAAAGCAAUAAGUGAUCCACCUGGGGAGUACGCCGGCAACGGUGAAACUCAAAGGAAUUGACGUGG